GAUGAAGAACGUAGCAAAGUGCGAUAUGUACUGCGCUGUGCGCGAACUGCGCAGUCAUUCUUCGAAUACACAUUGUCCUGUCUGGCGAACAGCCGGCAGGGCAUCUGCUUCAGGGUUGUUGAUUAGUUAGCGCCGCGCUUUGCCGGUGUUUGUGGGGUGUCACCACCGUGUGUCCCCUACCUUUUGUGUCCCCGAUGCUUUCGCUUCUGGGGAUUGGGUGUCUGGCAGUCUGGUUCAUUGCUUGCAUUGUUCCGCGUAUUGCUUCUCCCUUUUACCUUAUCUGACCCGACCUGAAGUCAGGUGUGACUACCCGCUGAACUUAAGCAUAUCAAUAAGCGGAGGA
This 343-nucleotide unclassified non-coding RNA is filed under the name soil metagenome. RNAcentral's name for it is "partial contains 5.8S ribosomal RNA, internal transcribed spacer 2, and large subunit ribosomal RNA". The stretch from base 1 to 118 matches the Rfam family "5.8S ribosomal RNA", at positions 35 to 154 of the family's 154-position model. The record is from RNAcentral.